UGGGGAAUAUUGGACAAUGGGCGAAAGCCUGAUCCAGCAAUGCCGCGUGAGUGAUGAAGGCCUUAGGGUUGUAAAGCUCUUUUACCCGGGAUGAUAAUGACAGUACCGGGAGAAUAAGCCCCGGCUAACUCCGUGCCAGCAGCCGCGGUAAUACGGAGGGGGCUAGCGUUGUUCGGAAUUACUGGGCGUAAAGCGCACGUAGGCGGCUUUGUAAGUUAGAGGUGAAAGCCCAGGGCUCAACCCUGGAAUUGCCUUUAAGACUGCAUCGCUAGAAUUGUGGAGAGGUAAGUGGAAUUCCGAGUGUAGAGGUGAAAUUCGUAGAUAUUCGGAAGAACACCAGUGGCGAAGGCGACUUACUGGACACAUAUUGACGCUGAGGUGCGAAAGCGUGGGGAGCAAACA
Molecule: ribosomal RNA, 402 nt
Filed under: Brucella melitensis
Lineage: Bacteria; Pseudomonadati; Pseudomonadota; Alphaproteobacteria; Hyphomicrobiales; Brucellaceae
Also listed under: 1 other name
Description: partial 16S ribosomal RNA
Rfam family: Bacterial small subunit ribosomal RNA
Source: RNAcentral